CCUACAGGUGGCAGCAGUGGGGAAUAUUGGACAAUGGGGGCAACCCUGAUCCAGCCAUGCCGCGUGUGUGAAGAAGGCCCUCGGGUUGUAAAGCACUUUCAGUGAGGAAGAACGCCUGGUGGUUAAUACCCAUCAGGAAAGACAUCACUCACAGAAGAAGCACCGGCUAACUCCGUGCCAGCAGCCGCGGUAAUACGGAGGGUGCGAGCGUUAAUCGGAAUUACUGGGCGUAAAGCGCGCGUAGGUGGCUUGAUAAGCCGGUUGUGAAAGCCCCGGGCUCAACCUGGGAACGGCAUCCGGAACUGUCAAGCUAGAGUGCAGGAGAGGAAGGUAGAAUUCCCGGUGUAGCGGUGAAAUGCGUAGAGAUCGGGAGGAAUACCAGUGGCGAAGGCGGCCUUCUGGACUGACACUGACACUGAGGUGCGAAAGCGUGGGUAGCAAACAGGAUUAGAUACCCGAGUAGUC
This 465-nucleotide ribosomal RNA is filed under the name Vreelandella stevensii. Its description in RNAcentral is "partial 16S ribosomal RNA". It matches the Rfam family "Bacterial small subunit ribosomal RNA", at positions 338 to 795 of the family's 1533-position model. Lineage: Bacteria; Pseudomonadati; Pseudomonadota; Gammaproteobacteria; Oceanospirillales; Halomonadaceae. The record is from RNAcentral.